Molecule: ribosomal RNA, 651 nt
Filed under: Phellinus uncisetus
Lineage: Eukaryota; Fungi; Basidiomycota; Agaricomycetes; Hymenochaetales; Hymenochaetaceae
Description: eukaryotic LSU rRNA
Rfam family: 5.8S ribosomal RNA (bases 227-380)
Source: RNAcentral
UCCGUAGGUGAACCUGCGGAAGGAUCAUUAACGAGAUAUAGGUUGAUGCUGGUGUUGUGACACAUGUGCUCGCCUUGACUACUCUCUCUCUCUCAACCCCUGUGCACCUUAUCAAAGUUAGUAGUUGCCGUGGUAGGAUUACCCUUUGCGAACACUUUGACUUUUAUUAUAAAUCCCUUUAAUUGUCUUUGUGAAAUGUGUCAUCCACGGAUGAUGAUUCUUAUACAACUUUCAACAACGGAUCUCUUGGUUCUCGCAUCGAUGAAGAACGCAGCGAAAUGCGAUAAGUAAUGUGAAUUGCAGAAUUCAGUGAAUCAUCGAAUCUUUGAACGCACCUUGCGCCCCUUGGUAUUCCGAGGGGCAUGCCUGUUUGAGUGUCAUGUUAUUCUCAAUUGUCUUAUUCUUAAUUGAGUAAGAGACUUGGACUUGGAGGUCAUCAUGCUGGUAUAUAGUAUAUUGGCUCCUCUAAAAUGCAUUAGCUAGACUUUGGUUUGCAUUGCUCGGUGUCAUAGUUCUUUUCUAUUCACUAGCAGUGCUUACUUAGAACGGGUCUGCUUCCAAUGGUCCGCUUUUGGACAAGUGGCUUUGUUAUUUGACCUCAAAUCAGGUAGGACUACCCGCUGAACUUAAGCAUAUCAAUAAGCGGAGGAA